Molecule: ribosomal RNA, 489 nt
Filed under: uncultured bacterium
Lineage: Bacteria
Description: partial 16S ribosomal RNA
Rfam family: Bacterial small subunit ribosomal RNA
Source: RNAcentral
AUUGAACGCUGGCGGCAGGCCUAACACAUGCAAGUCGAACGGUAACAGGAAGAAGCUUGCUUCUUUGCUGACGAGUGGCGGACGGGUGAGUAAUGUCUGGGAAACUGCCUGAUGGAGGGGGAUAACUACUGGAAACGGUAGCUAAUACCGCAUAACGUCGCAAAACCAAAGAGGGGGACCUUCGGGCCUCUUGCCAUCGGAUGUGCCCAGAUGGGAUUAGCUAGUAGGUGGGGUAACGGCUCACCUAGGCGACGAUCCCUAGCUGGUCUGAGAGGAUGACCAGCCACACUGGAACUGAGACACGGGCCAGACUCCUACGGGAGGCAGCAGUGGGGAAUAUUGCACAAUGGGCGCAAGCCUGAUGCAGCCAUGCCGCGUGUAUGAAGAAGGCCUUCGGGUUGUAAAGUACUUUCAGCGGGGAGGAAGGGAGUAAAGUUAAUACCUUUGCUCAUUGACGUUACCCGCAGAAGAAGCACCGGCGAACUCCGG